This 55-nucleotide transfer RNA is filed under the name Lepisosteus oculatus (spotted gar). It matches the Rfam family "tRNA", at positions 10 to 63 of the family's 71-position model. Rfam says of the family: Transfer RNA (tRNA) molecules are approximately 80 nucleotides in length. Their secondary structure includes four short double-helical elements and three loops (D, anti-codon, and T loops). Further hydrogen bonds mediate the characteristic L-shaped molecular structure. tRNAs have two regions of fundamental functional importance: the anti-codon, which is responsible for specific mRNA codon recognition, and the 3' end, to which the tRNAs corresponding amino acid is attached (by aminoacyl-tRNA synthetases). tRNAs cope with the degeneracy of the genetic code in two manners: having more than one tRNA (with a specific anti-codon) for a particular amino acid; and 'wobble' base-pairing, i.e. permitting non-standard base-pairing at the 3rd anti-codon position. Lineage: Eukaryota; Metazoa; Chordata; Actinopteri; Semionotiformes; Lepisosteidae. The record is from Rfam by way of RNAcentral.
GUUCAGUGGUAGAAUUCUCGCCUGCCACGCGAGAGUCCCCGGGUUCGAUUCCUGG